Molecule: ribosomal RNA, 497 nt
Filed under: uncultured bacterium
Lineage: Bacteria
Description: partial 16S ribosomal RNA
Rfam family: Bacterial small subunit ribosomal RNA
Source: RNAcentral
GAUGAACGCUGGCGGCGUGCCUAAUACAUGCAAGUCGAGCGAACAGACGAGGAGCUUGCUCCUCUGACGUUAGCGGCGGACGGGUGAGUAACACGUGGAUAACCUACCUAUAAGACUGGGAUAACCUCGGGAAACCGGAGCUAAUACCGGAUAAUAUAUUGAACCGCAUGGUUCAAUAGUGAAAGACGGUUUUGCUGUCACUUAUAGAUGGAUCCGCGCCGCAUUAGCUAGUCGGUAAGGUAACGGCUUACCAAGGCAACGAUGCGUAGCCGACCUGAGAGGGUGAUCGGCCACACUGGAACUGAGACACGGUCCAGACUCCUACGGGAGGCAGCAGUAGGGAAUCUUCCGCAAUGGGCGAAAGCCUGACGGAGCAACGCCGCGUGAGUGAUGAAGGUCUUCGGAUCGUAAAACUCUGUUAUUAGGGAAGAACAAAUGUGUAAGUAACUAUGCACGUCUUGACGGUACCUAAUCAGAAAGCCACGGCUAACUACGUG